UCCAGACUCCUACGGGAGGCAGCAGUGGGGGAUAUUGCACAAUGGGGGGAACCCUGAUGCAGCGACGCCGCGUGGGUGAAGGAGCACCUCGGUGCGUAAAGCCCUAUCGGCAGGGAAGAAACAGACGGUACCUGACUAAGAAGCCCCGGCUAACUACGUGCCAGCAGCCGCGGUAAUACGUAGGGAGCAAGCGUUAUCCGGAAUUAUUGGGUGUAAAGGGUGCGUAGACGGGACAGCAAGUUAGUUGUGAAAGCCCUCGGCUUAACUGAGGAACUGCAACUAAAACUAUUGUUCUUGAGUGCAGGAGAGGAAAGCGGAAUUCCUAGUGUAGCGGUGAAAUGCGUAGAUAUUAGGAGGAACACCAGUGGCGAAGGCGGCUUUCUGGACUGUAACUGACGCUGAGGCGCGAAAGCGUGGGUAGCGAACGGGAUUAGAUACCCUCGUA
This 445-nucleotide ribosomal RNA is filed under the name uncultured bacterium. RNAcentral describes it as "bacterial SSU rRNA". It matches the Rfam family "Bacterial small subunit ribosomal RNA", at positions 330 to 792 of the family's 1533-position model. The record is from RNAcentral.